UACGUAGGGGGCAAGCGUUGUCCGGAAUCAUUGGGCGUAAAGCGCGCGUAGGCGGUCAGGUAAGUCCGGUGUGAAAGUCAAAGGCUCAACCUUUGAAUGCCGCUGGAAACUGUCUGACUUGAGUCCGGUAGGGGCGAGUGGAAUUCCUGGUGUAGCGGUGAAAUGCGCAGAUAUCAGGAGGAACACCAAUGGCGAAGGCAGCUCGCUGGAACGGUACUGACGCUGAGGCGCGAAAGCGUGGGGAGCGAACAGG
RNAcentral lists this ribosomal RNA (253 nucleotides) under uncultured bacterium. RNAcentral's name for it is "partial 16S ribosomal RNA". It matches the Rfam family "Bacterial small subunit ribosomal RNA", at positions 524 to 776 of the family's 1533-position model. The record is from RNAcentral.